This is a long non-coding RNA of Symphalangus syndactylus (siamang), 1222 nucleotides long. RefSeq lists it as uncharacterized. The record is from RefSeq and is a predicted model, not a curated record. Lineage: Eukaryota; Metazoa; Chordata; Mammalia; Primates; Hylobatidae.
ACUGAGAUCAGAAAGAGAAGUGGGAGUGGUGAAGUCACUGACCAUAUGGUCAUUUGGGUCAAAAAUGGCACCAUUUAAAGGUCUGUAACUAUGGUAGAUUAAAGAUAGCCGCAAAUUCUUUGCUACUAUUUUUAGUAGAGGUCUAUUGCCUUCCCUUUGAAUGUGGACGGGCUCUGUAACUGCUUUGACCAAUGGAAUAAUAGCAGAAGUGACACUGUGCCAGCUCUCUGAGCCCAGGCCCUAAAUAUCUGUAGAUUUUCACUUUCUGUUUCUUAGGACACUAUUUUUGAGAUCUCUGAGCCUCCAUAUAAGAAGUCCAGAUUUCCUGAGACUGCCAUGCUGGAGUAGCCACAUGUAGGCACUUUGGGUUGACAGAUCCAGCUGAGGCCAGACCUCCUGCUGUCACCAUCAAGUGACAUGAGAGAGAACUGUUGUGGACCAUUCAGACCAGCUAAGGGUUGAAUACCCCCAAGUGAACUCCUUCAAGCCACCCAGAGAAAAAAAAAAAAAAAAAAACCCACCCAGCUGAGCCUGAGCCUUCUCUGAAUUUCUGACCCAUGACAUCUGGAGAUAUAAUAAAAUGCCUGUCUGUUUAAGCUGCCAAGUUUUGUAUGGCUUUGUGACAUAGUAAUAGGUAACCAGAAUAGUGAAUAUAAACAGAAGGUUCCCUGACCACAUGGUGACUGAAGAAAGAAGUACGUGCCAUCAUUUUAGUAUGUAAACUUCUCCAUUUGCUUGUUUGCCAAGAAGAUCUUGCUUAGAAAGAAAUCUUACCUAGAAUGUGAUACAUAAUAGAGCUCAAAGUCAAGCUGCCCGAGCUGAAGCAUAGCUAGGAGUCCAGAGUCACAUCUUCUCUGUCCUCUUGUCCUAAACUCCCCAGAUGCCAGGAGAUGUUCUGUAGCCCAGCUGUGAAAGAUUGUGAGGGCCAGAGGAUCUACUACCACAGAACCAUUCUAGAUGUGAGUUCCUAGUGUGAAAGGACUGGGAGUUAACAGAAGAGCCACAGUGAGGGCAUAAGUGCUUCUCCUUGUGAUUAAGACCUGUACCCACCUCUAGUCCUACAAACAAAGAUGGAUCCUUAAAUUCUUCAACGUGAAACACCUAUAAGGCAAACAAACCUCUUUUUGGCUAAUAUGGAUCACUUAUAAUAUAAUACAAUUGCAAAGUAUGCUUGUUCCAAAAGAUAUCCCUUCCCUUCUGGGGCAAUAAUGAGGACAUUGAA